ACUCUAUUUAAAUUUAUACCUGAUAAUUUGUUUAUAGUCAAUUAUCCUAAAACACCAAUCAUGUAGUUGUAAUAUUUUAGGUGUCAAUCCAAAUGGGUGUGAUGCAAACUGAUGAGAUGUGAUCAGAAGUCACUAAGUCAAGCCAAGCAAUAACAGUUUUGGGGUUUCUAACAAUCCUAAGCGAACAUGCAGAAAACAGAAACAAUAACAGAAUUACUAAAUUCACUCGACCACAACAGGCUAAUGCGAGAAGUGGGAUGUGGUCGUGUAACAGGUCGAGUAACAAACAGGAUAUGAAACAGCUAUACUCGACUGCACAUUCUGUUGCCAGACACUAGAUGUGGUCGAGUAUGCUGGUCGAGUAACAGACAGGAAACGAGACAACUGUACUCGACUGCACAGUCUGUUGCCAGACACUGGGUGUGGUCGAGUAAGUUGGUCGAGUAAGUGCAAAAACUAAGAAACAGACAAUGAGAACGAUUAAGUGAUAACGUUAAAACAGAGAAAUCAGAUGGACGAGAAAUUCCUAAGGAUGGGGUAAUCGAAUAGAGUGGUAUCCUAGCCUAUUCGAAUGGUUAACAAGCGCAAUCAAGCUAUCUCUAGACAACAGGUUCAACAACAGAUCAAUUCACUCCCGUGAUAGAAAUCCUCAAGCAAAGCUAGCCCAGACUAAUUCCCAUUAACGGAAUCUAACUAUGCAGGCAAUAAGAACAGACUGAUAAAGUCAAUAAACGCUCUAAACGGCCAAUCCCUUGGGAUAGAGACGAAUAUCUCAUGAACUAGUGGAUCAAGCAUUCCAUCGAACACCUUAUGGGUGCGGGAAUGCUUGGGAUCGAAUUCCAGUUGAUCAGAUAGAAAUAAGCAGUAAACACAACUUGUCCUGAAGGGAUUCAAUCAAUUCUAAAACUUAACCAUUGUACAGACUACGGAUUCUACAACUACUCUAUCCCAUCCUUAAGAAUUCUAAGUCACUACUCAGACAACAUGCUUAAAGACAUAAACGCACGUAAAUGAUAAUAUUG
Molecule: small RNA, 1022 nt
Filed under: Arabidopsis thaliana (thale cress)
Lineage: Eukaryota; Viridiplantae; Streptophyta; Magnoliopsida; Brassicales; Brassicaceae
Description: ATSL165730
Source: RNAcentral